CAAAGAGAGAGAAACAAGCCUGCUCUGAAACACAGAGCAAGUCCAUGACAUUCCCAUAACAAGCAGAAACCCUGCAGUGCCAGGCUGGGAGUGACCCCAGAUGAAGUGAACCUGCUGGACAAAAUGACUUCUCGCUUAAAGGACCUCAGCAAUGUUUCCUUCAGCUACGACGAGGCCAACUGCAGCACUCUGCAGAUUGGGCAGUACUCCACCCUCAGCAUUCCUACACAGGAGGCGUUUGGGGACAGGUUUGCAGAUGAGCUGAGUGUGCUGAUGAAGCUCAGGUACUCACUGCAGGAGGACACCAGCCUGUUGACCAUCCUGAGCCAUCGGAGCCACGUGCUCUUCCAGAUCCGGGUUAGCCCAUAUAGCUUGGUCUUUGCCACCACGAGGAGGAGGC
This 400-nucleotide long non-coding RNA is filed under the name Chrysolophus pictus (golden pheasant). Its description in RNAcentral is "lncRNA (ENSCPIG00010007575.1)". The record is from RNAcentral. Lineage: Eukaryota; Metazoa; Chordata; Aves; Galliformes; Phasianidae.